RNAcentral lists this transfer RNA (72 nucleotides) under Ovis aries (sheep). It matches the Rfam family "tRNA". From Rfam's summary of the family: Transfer RNA (tRNA) molecules are approximately 80 nucleotides in length. Their secondary structure includes four short double-helical elements and three loops (D, anti-codon, and T loops). Lineage: Eukaryota; Metazoa; Chordata; Mammalia; Artiodactyla; Bovidae. The record is from Rfam by way of RNAcentral.
UCCCUGAUAGCUCAGCUGGUAAAGAAUCUGCCUGCAAAGCAGGAGACCCUGAUUCGAUUUCUGGGUUGGGAA